GCGUGCGGGGAGGGGUGGCGGUCACGUGGUCAGGGAGCCGAGCGCUGGGGCGUAGGGGACCGCGGCUUGGAACUCCGGACGGCUGCAAGCCUGCUCAGGCUGCUUGUCUUCAUCGCCUUCUUUCGCUGUGCGCGGACCACACGGUGGAACUGUAGCGGCGAAAGCGACUGAGGUCUGGGCGCAAUUAUCUGUAACCUCCUGGCGACCCUGCAAGAAGACGCGUUAUUACAAGAUACUGAAUAUAGUUCCCUGCUCUAUACAGGGAACACAAGUAAGAAUGGAGGGUGCUCUUCCCCCCGCCCCACCCCGAAGGUAACAAAGGAUCAAGGUUUUCUCCGUGAAAUAGCCGCAGAAUGUAAACUGAGGCUGCUGGCAUUUCCCUGAGAGUUUUACUGGCUCAGCUCAAGAACCACCUCCUCCAAGUUGUCUUCCUGGAUUUACUCAGCCUAAAGUAAUCCUUCUUUUUCCUAGGGACGACUACACCUCUUCACGGGAAUUCUCGGAUCCUUGAAACAACACUUUAAGGGCUCAGCACAAUGGACAUAGAAACAGCAGAGGUCGAUGACUGCAUUGAUCCAAAUUUGGAAGUUGUGUGGCAGUCUGUGAAAAAUGGAAUCCUGCCAACAACCAUGUGACUGAACUUGGAAGCAGACCCUUCCCAGUAGAGCCUUCGGAUGAGGUGACAUCCCUGGCCAGUGCCUUCACUGCGGGCUUGCGAGAGGCCCUGAAGCAGAAGACCCAGCUAAGCCACGCCUGGAUUCCUGAAAACCAGACUGCUCUCUGCCAGGAUCUCUGGAGCCUCGCAUUGGUCAAUGCCCCUGAAGAGGGCAGAGUCCAGCCUCAGGCCUCUAGCCCACCCUCUUCCUGGGAAG
Molecule: long non-coding RNA, 872 nt
Organism: Aethalodelphis obliquidens (Pacific white-sided dolphin)
Lineage: Eukaryota; Metazoa; Chordata; Mammalia; Artiodactyla; Delphinidae
Exons: 8
Source: RefSeq, a predicted model, not a curated record